GUAGGUGGCAAGCGUUGUCCGGAAUUAUUGGGCGUAAAGCGCGCGCAGGCGGUUUUUUAAGUCUGAUGUGAAAGCCCACGGCUCAACCGUGGAGGGUCAUUGGAAACUGGAGAACUUGAGUACAGAAGAGGAAAGCGGAAUUCCACGUGUAGCGGUGAAAUGCGUAGAGAUGUGGAGGAACACCAGUGGCGAAGGCGGCUUUCUGGUCUGUAACUGACGCUGAGGCGCGAAAGCGUGGGGAGCAAACAGGGAUUAGAUACCCCGGUAGUCCACGCCGUAAACGAUGAGUGCUAAGUGUUAGGGGGUUUCCCGCCCCUUAGUGCUGCAGCUAACGCAUUAAGCACUCCGCCUGGGGAGUACGGCCGCAAGGCUG
This 373-nucleotide ribosomal RNA is filed under the name uncultured organism. Its description in RNAcentral is "partial 16S ribosomal RNA". It matches the Rfam family "Bacterial small subunit ribosomal RNA", at positions 527 to 896 of the family's 1533-position model. The record is from RNAcentral.